Molecule: long non-coding RNA, 1057 nt
Organism: Catharus ustulatus (Swainson's thrush)
Lineage: Eukaryota; Metazoa; Chordata; Aves; Passeriformes; Turdidae
Exons: 6
Source: RefSeq, a predicted model, not a curated record
UCAGUCUCUGACCUUUGCUGUUGCUGUUACCUUUUCAUGAGGAGUCCACAUGUGGAAGGCAACACAACUGAGGCUGAAAAGGUUAUCCUGUUGCAUUGUAAACAACCACUGAACCUUCAGAAGAGAUUUCUCAUCUGGGCAGUUUUGCUGGCUAUGUGUCUUGGAUGAACUGUUUCUUCCGUACACCAUUGCUGACCAUAAAGGACAACAGCUCCAGGAAGAAGGGUGACUACAUAACAUGAAAGACAUGAUCACAGCAGCUGGAACACAGAAGACACCCGUAUUUAGUCCUGUUAUCAUCCAAGCUGGCCAGUUUAUUCCAGACUUUCCUUUGGUUCAUGGAGACUUCCCAAGUAUCCUUCUCAGCUCCCUCUUUCAGGCACUUGCAAAAGCCCAACAAACACUUGACACGUGAUUCUAGUUGCUUCGACUUGGCUUAUUGUUUUCCCAAGCCUUAUGGGAAAAAGAGCUAACUUGGUGAAGAUGUAACAGAAAAUUUUAAAUAGGUGAGUUCGUUUACCAUUCCAAUAAGGCAAUGUCUCGUACUUUGUCUUUUAAAAUGCUGGGUAUUGUAAUUAGAGUCCUUACUAAUCUAGAGAGAGAAUUUCCUAUUUGACUUCUAUUUAAAUAAUAGCAAUUCUUUCUAGGUGCAACAGCAGUGAGUGCCCAUCCACUCUGUGUGUCUACUUGACCUUGCUUGGGCGUUUCAGAGUGUGAAGGCUGGGGAAGCCGAACGCUGUAGCUGCUGCUGAUCUGUGUCUGAAUCCUGACGAUCAGAUCUCUGGAGCAGCGCGGCUGUGUGGAAGCAGCAGCAGCCUUCGGGAGAGGAGUACAAAACAUCUCCUGGGCAGGUUGAAGAUGCCCUGACAGGAGAGGCGCUGGGAGAGGGGCAGGAGCCCUAGAGGCGCCGGCACCGCGGAGGGGACGAGGCGCUUUUUUCCCGGCCGGUGGCGGCGGGGCGGCUCCGGACCCAGGAGGAGCGAGGGAAGGAGCGGCGGAGGAGCAUCCCGGCGCGGGCCGUCCCGUCCCUGCCCGGCUCCGUGCGCCCCAUCGCGGC